This is a non-coding RNA of Theobroma cacao (cacao), 237 nucleotides long. The record is from RefSeq and is a predicted model, not a curated record. Lineage: Eukaryota; Viridiplantae; Streptophyta; Magnoliopsida; Malvales; Malvaceae.
UCAAUGAAUCAAGCCAUUAAAGGUUGUGAAUCCUCCGAUAAGGGGAAAGAAAUUGUACCCGAGGAUUGAUAGUCGGAGUACUUUAAAAAUUCGACUCCCGAAAUACUUGCUACAGUGGGCGAGUUCUGUGGACCAGCGUAUUAGAGGGGCAAGGAAUCCCUUUAUAUUCUUACCUCGAUUGGAGAGGCGUGUAGGGUAACUUUCGAGGUAAAACUUUUACAGUUCACUUCACGCCAA